UUGCUAAGGCUGAAUGGCGACCGGCGCACGGGUGAGUAACACGUAUCCAACCUGCCGUCUACUCUUGGCCAGCCUUCUGAAAGGAAGAUUAAUCCAGGAUGGGAUCAUGAGUUCACAUGUCCGCAUGAUUAAAGGUAUUUUCCGGUAGACGAUGGGGAUGCGUUCCAUUAGAUAGUAGGCGGGGUAACGGCCCACCUAGUCAACGAUGGAUAGGGGUUCUGAGAGGAAGGUCCCCCACAUUGGAACUGAGACACGGUCCAAACUCCUACGGGAGGCAGCAGUGAGGAAUAUUGGUCAAUGGGCGAUGGCCUGAACCAGCCAAGUAGCGUGAAGGAUGACUGCCCUAUGGGUUGUAAACUUCUUUUAUAAAGGAAUAAAGUCGGGUAUGCAUACCCGUUUGCAUGUACUUUAUGAAUAAGGAUCGGCUAACUCCGUGCCAGCAGCCGCGGUAAUACGGAGGAUCCGAGCGUUAUCCGGAUUUAUUGGGUUUAAAGGGAGCGUAGAUGGAUGUUUAAGUCAGUUGUGAAAGUUUGCGGCUCAACCGUAAAAUUGCAGUUGAUACUGGAUGUCUUGAGUGCAGUUGAGGCAGGCGGAAUUCGUGGUGUAGCGGUGAAAUGCCUAGAUAUCACGAAGAACUCCGAUUGCGAAGGCAGCCUG
This 657-nucleotide ribosomal RNA is filed under the name uncultured Bacteroidales bacterium. RNAcentral's name for it is "bacterial SSU rRNA". It matches the Rfam family "Bacterial small subunit ribosomal RNA", at positions 75 to 728 of the family's 1533-position model. Lineage: Bacteria; Pseudomonadati; Bacteroidota; Bacteroidia; Bacteroidales. The record is from RNAcentral.